AACGCUGGCGGCGUGCUUAACCCAUGCAAGUCGAACGGAAAGGCCCUGCUUUUGUGGGGUGCUCGAGUGGCGAACGGGUGAGUAACACGUGAGUAACCUGCCCUUGACUUUGGGAUAACUUCAGGAAACUGGGGCUAAUACCGGAUAGGAGCUCCUGCUGCAUGGUGGGGGUUGGAAAGUUUCGGCGGUUGGGGAUGGACUCGCGGCUUAUCAGCUUGUUGGUGGGGUAGUGGCUUACCAAGGCUUUGACGGGUAGCCGGCCUGAGAGGGUGACCGGCCACAAUGGGACUGAGAUACGGCCCAGACUCCUACGGGAGGCAGCAGUGGGGAAUAUUGCACAAUGGGCGGAAGCCUGAUGCAGCAACGCCGCGUGCGGGAUGACGGCCUUCGGGUUGUAAACCGCUUUCGCCUGUGACGAAGCGUGAGUGACGGUAAUGGGUAAAGAAGCACCGGCUAACUACGUG
This 464-nucleotide ribosomal RNA is filed under the name uncultured bacterium. Its description in RNAcentral is "partial 16S ribosomal RNA". It matches the Rfam family "Bacterial small subunit ribosomal RNA", at positions 32 to 507 of the family's 1533-position model. The record is from RNAcentral.